RNAcentral lists this non-coding RNA (67 nucleotides) under Mediterraneibacter gnavus ATCC 29149. Lineage: Bacteria; Bacillati; Bacillota; Clostridia; Lachnospirales; Lachnospiraceae. The record is from RNAcentral.
GCCGGACGCAUUCUGGCACUGUAAUGCAGCCGAAGCCGGUUCCGAGCCCGGAAAUGCAGAGGACAGA